This 440-nucleotide ribosomal RNA is filed under the name uncultured bacterium. RNAcentral describes it as "partial 16S ribosomal RNA". It matches the Rfam family "Bacterial small subunit ribosomal RNA", at positions 338 to 795 of the family's 1533-position model. The record is from RNAcentral.
CCUACGGGAGGCAGCAGUGGGGAAUAUUGCACAAUGGGGGAAACCCUGAUGCAGCGACGCCGCGGGAGUGAAGAAGUAUUUCGGUACGUAAAGCUCUAUCAGCAGGGAAGAAAAUGACGGUACCUGACUAAGAAGCCCCGGCUAACUACGUGCCAGCAGCCGCGGUAAUACGUAGGGGGCAAGCGUUAUCCGGAUUUACUGGGUGUAAAGGGAGCGUAGACGGCAGCGCAAGUCUGGAGUGAAAUCCCAUGGCUUAACCAUGGAACUGCUUUGGAAACUGUGCAGCUAGAGUGCAGGAGAGGUAAGCGGAAUUCCUAGUGUAGCGGUGAAAUGCGUAGAUAUUAGGAGGAACACCAGUGGCGAAGGCGGCUUACUGGACUGUAACUGACGUUGAGGCUCGAAAGCGUGGGGAGCAAACAGGAUUAGAUACCCCUGUAGUC